GAAGCGGCAACAGCUCAAAUUUGAAAUCUGACCCUUUGGGGUCCGAGUUGUAAUUUGCAGAGGGUGUUUCGGGCACGGUGCCGGUUUAAGUCCUUUGGAACAGGGCGUCAUAGAGGGUGAGAACCCCGUAUGUGACCGGUCGCCAAACCCAUGUGAAACCCCUUCGACGAGUCGAGUUGUUUGGGAAUGCAGCUCAAAAUGGGUGGUAAAUUUCAUCUAAAGCUAAAUAUUGGCCAGAGACCGAUAGCGCACAAGUAGAGUGAUCGAAAGAUGAAAAGCACUUUGGAAAGAGAGUCAAACAGCACGUGAAAUUGUUGAAAGGGAAGCGCUUGCGACCAGACCUGCUCGCGGGUGAUCAGCGGUGCUUUUCGCGCCGUGCACUCAUCCGCGAUCAGGCCAGCAUCGGUUCAGGCGGCCGGAUAAAGACUCGGAGAAUGUUGCUCCCUCCGGGGAGUGUUAUAGCUCCUUGUGCAAUACGGCCAGCCGGGACCGAGGACCGCGCUUCGGCUAGGAUGCUGGCGUAAUGGUCGUAAGCGACCCGUCUUGAAACACGGACCAAGGAGUCUAACAUCUGUGCGAGUGUUUGGGCGUCAAACCCAUGCGCGCAAUGAAAGUGAACGUGAGGUGGGAACCCUUUCGGGGGCGCACCAUCGACCGAUCCAGAUGUCUUCGGAUGGAUUUGAGUAAGAGCACAGCUGUUGGGACCCGAAAGAUGGUGAACUAUGCCUGAAUAGGGUGAAGCCAGAGGAAACUCUGGUGGAGGCUCGCAGCGGUUCUGACGUGCAAAUCGAUCGUCAAAUUUGGGUAUAGGGGCGAAAGACUAAUCGA
RNAcentral lists this ribosomal RNA (828 nucleotides) under Psora decipiens. RNAcentral describes it as "LSU rRNA". It matches the Rfam family "Eukaryotic large subunit ribosomal RNA", at positions 95 to 938 of the family's 3401-position model. The record is from RNAcentral. Lineage: Eukaryota; Fungi; Ascomycota; Lecanoromycetes; Lecanorales; Psoraceae.